GUAUUGUAUUGCGUUAAACGCGGCAUGCAUUCCAUGAGACUUUGUUACAGUGUGUGUGUAAAGACGCAGAACCACAGCAGGAGGACAGGCCCCCUGACCAUAGAACCACGGAGGGUGCACAGGGUGUGAGUGGAUGUGUGAACAGAGUGUGCACAUGUCCCCAUUUGAGGACCAGCAACAACUCUUGUUGACAAUUCGGUAAUGAUCCUUCCGCAGGUUCACCUACGGAAA
RNAcentral lists this unclassified non-coding RNA (231 nucleotides) under uncultured fungus. RNAcentral describes it as "sequence contains ITS1". The record is from RNAcentral. Lineage: Eukaryota; Fungi.